RNAcentral lists this ribosomal RNA (253 nucleotides) under uncultured bacterium. Its description in RNAcentral is "partial 16S ribosomal RNA". It matches the Rfam family "Bacterial small subunit ribosomal RNA", at positions 524 to 776 of the family's 1533-position model. The record is from RNAcentral.
GACAGAGGUGCCGAGCGUUAGGCGGAAUCACUGGGCUUAAAGCGUGUGUAGGCGGGCGAUCAAGUACCUUGCGAAAUCCCACGGCUCAACCGUGGAACCGCUGGGUAUACUGGUUGUCUUGAGCCGGCUAGGGGCGAGCGGAACAGACGGUGGAGCGGUGAAAUGCGUAGAUAUCGUCUGGAACGCCGAAGGUGAAAACAGCUCGCUGGGGCCGCGCUGACGCUGAGACACGAAAGCCAGGGGAGCGAACGGG